UACGACUUUCAUGACUUGACGGGCGGUGUGUACAAGACCCGGGAACUUAUUCACCGCAGCGUUGCUGAAUCUGCGAUUACUAGCGACUCCGACUUCAUGAGGUCGAGUUGCAGGACGUCAAUCAGAACUGGGACCGGCUUUUUUGGGGAUUCGCUCACCUCGGGGGUAUCGCCGCCCAUUUGUACCGGCCAUUGGUAGCAAGGCGUUGAAGGCCCAAGAACAAAGGGGGCAUGGAUGGAUUUUGAAGGGCCAUUCCCCCAACCCUUUCCUCCCGGAGUUUUGGACCCCCCGGGCAGGUAUUCCCCAAUGGAGUUUCCCCCACCCGAAACGGGGGUUGGGGCAAAAAAUAGGGAAACCGGGGGGGGGUUUGCCCCGCUUCCGUUUUUGGGGGGGAAAUUUUUAAACCCCCCAAAAAAAUCUUGCAAGGGAAAAAAAGGGGGGCGGGGACGGAACAAAACCAAUUGGCCACCCAACCCUGGUGUAACCCCCCCGGAACCCCAAAAAAGGGGGGGGGCGGGAAAUU
RNAcentral lists this ribosomal RNA (523 nucleotides) under Microbacterium foliorum. Its description in RNAcentral is "partial 16S ribosomal RNA". Lineage: Bacteria; Bacillati; Actinomycetota; Actinomycetes; Micrococcales; Microbacteriaceae. The record is from RNAcentral.